UAAUGGAAUAGGACUACGGUCUCUUCUGUUGGUUUUCGGAACUGAGGCCAUGAUUAAGAGGGACGGGCGGGGGCAUUCGUAUUGCGCCGCUAGAGGUGAAAUUCUUGGGCCGGCGCAGUUCGGACCAGAGUGAAAGCAUUUGCCAAGAAUGUUUUCACUAAUCAAGAACGAAAGUCGGAGGUUCGAAGAUGAUCAGAUACAGUCGUAGUUCCGACCAUAAACGAUGGCAACUGGCGAUGUGGCGGCGUUAUUCCCAUGACCCGCUGGGCAGCUUCCAAGAAACCAAAGUCUUUGGGUUUUUAGGUUCCGGGGGGAGUAUGGUUGCAAAGCUGAAACUUAAAGGAAUUGGUGGAAGGGACCAGCAGGAGUGGCGCCUAUGGCUUAAUUUGACUCAACAUGGGAAAAAUCACCCGGACGGACAUGGACAGGAUUGACAGAUUGAUAGCUCUUUCUCUGUUCCAUGGGUGGUGGUGCAUGGCCUUAGUUGGUGGAGUGAUUUGUCUGGUUAAUUCCGAUAACCAACGAGACUCUGGCAUGCUAACUAGUUACGCGACCCCUGAGCGUCGGCGUCCCCCAACUUCUUAGAGGGACAAGUGGCGUUCAGCCACCGGAAAUUGAGCAAUAACAGGUCUGUGAUGCCCUUAGAUGUACGGGGCUGCACGUGCACUACACUGACUGGCUCA
Molecule: ribosomal RNA, 683 nt
Filed under: uncultured eukaryote
Lineage: Eukaryota
Description: SSU rRNA
Rfam family: Eukaryotic small subunit ribosomal RNA
Source: RNAcentral